GCCUGGUGGUUCCUAUAGACAGCUCUAAAGUGCUGAUCUGUGGGUUUUGAUUGGCAGGCACAUAUUGACUCUGCGAUUUUAUGCAUGGGAGCUGUCACCAUAGCAGUCUUCCAUAGCCCGGUUGCAGAAACAUUU
Molecule: small nucleolar RNA, 135 nt
Organism: Myripristis murdjan (pinecone soldierfish)
Lineage: Eukaryota; Metazoa; Chordata; Actinopteri; Holocentriformes; Holocentridae
Product: small nucleolar RNA SNORA84
Source: Ensembl